This 421-nucleotide ribosomal RNA is filed under the name uncultured bacterium. RNAcentral's name for it is "bacterial SSU rRNA". It matches the Rfam family "Bacterial small subunit ribosomal RNA", at positions 355 to 774 of the family's 1533-position model. The record is from RNAcentral.
UAAGGAAUAUUGGUCAAUGGACGCAAGUCUGAACCAGCCAUGCCGCGUGAAGGAUGAAGGUCCUCUGGAUUGUAAACUUCUUUUAUCUGGGACGAAAACGGGAUUUUUAUCUCAAUUGACGGUACUAGAGGAAUAAGCACCGGCUAACUCCGUGCCAGCAGCCGCGGUAAUACGGAGGGUGCGAGCGUUAUCCGGAUUUACUGGGUUUAAAGGGUGCGUAGGUGGGCUUAUAAGUCAGUGGUGAAAUCUCCGAGCUUAACUUGGGAACUGCCGUUGAUACUAUAGGUCUUGAAUUAUCUGGAGGUAAGCGGAAUAUGUCAUGUAGCGGUGAAAUGCUUAGAUAUGACAUAGAACACCAAUUGCGAAGGCAGCUUACUACAUAUAAAUUGACGCUGAGGCACGAAAGCGUGGGGAUCAAACA